UACGUAGGGGGCAAGCGUUGUCCGGAUUUAUUGGGCGUAAAGAGCGUGUAGGCGGCUAGAUAGGUCCGUUGUGAAAACUCGAGGCUCAACCUCGAGACGUCGAUGGAAACCAUCUGGCUAGAGUCAGGAAGAGGAGAGUGGAAUUCCUGGUGUAGCGGUGAAAUGCGCAGAUAUCAGGAAGAACACCCGUGGCGAAGGCGGCUCUCUGGUACGUGACUGACGCUGAGACGCGAAAGCGUGGGGAGCGAACAGG
Molecule: ribosomal RNA, 253 nt
Filed under: uncultured bacterium
Lineage: Bacteria
Description: partial 16S ribosomal RNA
Rfam family: Bacterial small subunit ribosomal RNA
Source: RNAcentral